CUUCAAUGCUAUUAAAUAAGCGAGUUCAAUUUUGUUAUUAUAUUCUAAUUACUUAGCUUCUUUUGUUCUGUUGGUUGCUCAUUGGUUUUCUAACUAAGAUGUUGCAAUCCAGAAGAAUUGUUACGACGUUACCAAAUAUGCACUUGAGAGUUAUGUAGAUGUUACAGUCACCGUAGAAUUGACGGUGGAAAAUGGAGCGAUUGGCACCGGAACGGACAACCAAUGCUUUGUGAAAAUAUUAGGCUGAAGUGUGAUAAGUCACCGACGUCGGCGUGUGAACUCAAAUAAGUCUCCUUUUGCUUCUCCAAUUUUAACUCAUAAGUUGAAAGUUAGUUUGUGGAUUUUCCUGUAAACAACAAUUAUGUUUCUAUAUGAUGAUGCAGAGAGAACUACUUCUAGGCGGUGGAGAAGAGUCCACAAUCCGCAGACACAUUUUGCAGAGAAUGGGAAGCAAACAAUCUUGCCUCUAGGGAGGGUGGUAAAACAACAGCUGGCCAAAUUCUUAUUGCAAUUUUGAGGUUUCUCAAUUUGUUGUUCUUCAAUUUCUAUCAAUGGGGUAAAACCCUACUAUGAUGACAUAUUUUUCUUAGUAUGUUCUUCUGCACGAGUUACUAUCAUAUGGGGCCUUCCUACAAGUGAGGAGCUUAGUAAACAAGAGAUGAAUUAUGGAGAUUUUGAUCUGUUUGUACUACAUGCAGGGGUUCCAUCUGUUGACGUGUAUUACAAAAAAGGGUUGACCUAUGUCAUCAGUCAAACGAUGAUGAUGACUAUGAAGGAAGUUUUUAUGAGGAACCUUUGCUGGGAAAAUCUCCAAAUGAAGCAAAUUUAACAAACAGGAAUAGACAUAGAAAGUGUUUUCCUAUUCAUUUUUCUCGUCUGGGGCUCCGUCAAAAGAUUAUGAUUUUGGUACAGAAAGAUUUUAUUCUCAUGUAGCUCUGAUUGUUGUCUUAUCCAUUUGUCCUUAAUUUUGACACAUAACCUUCACUAAGUAUUUCAUUCAAAUACAAUGACUUUCAUAUGAUUCGCCAGGUUAUGUUACUAA
Vicia villosa (hairy vetch) is the source of this 1042-nucleotide long non-coding RNA. RefSeq lists it as uncharacterized. The record is from RefSeq and is a predicted model, not a curated record. The transcript has 4 exons. NCBI's taxonomy places the organism in Eukaryota, Viridiplantae, Streptophyta, Magnoliopsida, Fabales, Fabaceae.